Long non-coding RNA from Coturnix japonica (Japanese quail), 610 nucleotides. Lineage: Eukaryota; Metazoa; Chordata; Aves; Galliformes; Phasianidae. The record is from Ensembl.
GGCUCCUCCAUCUUGGGCUCUCCCCUAAAUCAACAGUAGGCAAUAUAUAGUCGACCUUUAUUAGUCUCAUUUCUGCUGUUAUCAAUCUCUUAAUUAAAGAAAAAAAAAAAAAAAAAAAAGAGAUUACUUGUGACAUUGGGUACUGUUAACAGAAAAUAACUUUUGCUUAAAUCCUUUGUUGAACAAGGAUCAAGUUAAUUGUAUGCUUAAAGAGAAAUAUCUGCCAAUGUGCUCUGUGCUCACCUUAUACUGGUGAUGAAUGCAGGUUCAAGCCCUUAGCAGCUUCUUCAGAUGCUGUCAGAAAAGGAAGGCAUGUUCCAGAAACAAAGUUCCUGUGUGGUUUUUGAAGACUUUGUUGUAAUAAGAUCUGUCACACUAAGAAAUUACACAAGCUCAUGGAAGAUGUUACUGAAAAUGUGUAGUCAAGAGAUGAUCUUCUCUGGGACACAUAAAAGUUGCCAAGUAGGUCUUUAUAACAGUAUUUAAGAUGUUUUUAUUUGUAAGCACAUUUGUGAAGAUGCUAAGUCAGGUUCACUUAGAGCAUUCACAAUUGCAUUAGAAGGUAAGCUUAGAUACUGGCAGCAAGGAAGAAUUUUUAUUGUACAAUAAA